This is a non-coding RNA of Zootoca vivipara (common lizard), 74 nucleotides long. The record is from the annotation of a RefSeq genome assembly. Lineage: Eukaryota; Metazoa; Chordata; Lepidosauria; Squamata; Lacertidae.
GAAGGCUCAUAGCUCAGUGGUAGAGCAUCUGCCUUGGAAGCAGAAGGUCCUGGGUUCAAUCCCAAGCAUCUUCA